AGUGAACGCUGGCGGUAGGCCUAACACAUGCAAGUCGAACGGCAGCACAGUAAGAGCUUGCUCUUACGGGUGGCGAGUGGCGGACGGGUGAGGAAUACAUCGGAAUCUACUUUUUCGUGGGGGAUAACGUAGGGAAACUUACGCUAAUACCGCAUACGACCUACGGGUGAAAGCAUGGGAUCUUCGGACCUUGCGCAAUUGAAUGAGCCGAUGUCGGAUUAGCUAGUUGGCGGGGGAAAGGCCCACCAAGGCGACGAUCCGUAGCUGGUCUGAGAGGAUGAUCAGCCACACUGGAACUGAGACACGGUGCAGACUCCUACGGGAGGCAGCAGUGGGGAAUAUUGGACAAUGGGGGAAAGCCUGAUCCAGCCAUACCGCGUGGGUGAAGAAGGCCUUCGGGUUGUAAAGCCCUUUUGUUGGGAAAGAAAAGCAGCAGGUUAAUACCCCGCUGUUCUGACGGUACCCAAAGAAUAAGCACCGGCUAACUUCGUG
Molecule: ribosomal RNA, 492 nt
Filed under: uncultured bacterium
Lineage: Bacteria
Description: partial 16S ribosomal RNA
Rfam family: Bacterial small subunit ribosomal RNA
Source: RNAcentral